GGGCCCGCACAAGCGGCGGAGCAUGCGGAUUAAUUCGAUGCAACGCGAAGAACCUUACCUGGGUUUGACAUAUGGCGGAAAGCUGCAGAGAUGUAGCCCCCGCAAGGUCGGUAUACAGGUGGUGCAUGGCUGUCGUCAGCUCGUGUCGUGAGAUGUUGGGUUAAGUCCCGCAACGAGCGCAACCCUCGUCCUAUGUUGCCAGCACGUAAUGGUGGGGACUCAUAGGAGACUGCCGGGGUCAACUCGGAGGAAGGUGGGGAUGACGUCAAGUCAUCAUGCCCCUUAAGUCCAGGGCUUCACGCAUGCUACAAUGGCUGGUACAAAGGGCUGCGAUACCGCAAGGUGGAGCGAAUCCCAAAAAGCCAGUCUCAGUUCGGAUUGGGGUCUGCAACUCGACCCCAUGAAGUCGGAGUCGCUAGUAAUCGCAGA
RNAcentral lists this ribosomal RNA (429 nucleotides) under uncultured Actinomycetes bacterium. RNAcentral's name for it is "bacterial SSU rRNA". It matches the Rfam family "Bacterial small subunit ribosomal RNA", at positions 917 to 1348 of the family's 1533-position model. The record is from RNAcentral. Lineage: Bacteria; Bacillati; Actinomycetota; Actinomycetes.